Molecule: long non-coding RNA, 324 nt
Organism: Terrapene triunguis (Three-toed box turtle)
Lineage: Eukaryota; Metazoa; Chordata; Testudines; Emydidae
Exons: 3
Source: RefSeq, a predicted model, not a curated record
UCCCAGCCGAUCGGAGCAGCGCGGAGCCCUCCUCCCAGCCCAGCUCCCUGCAUCCUGCCAGAGGGGAGGCGUUGAAGUGCCCAGACGGAGCCACCAGCCGGCUCCAGGAGACGCGGGAGCCCAGCACCGUGGCGGGACGAUGCGCUGAGCCGCCCGCAGAGGAGGGGGCGCUGCUCCCGCUUGGCCAGGCCAAGGGAAAGGAAGCAAGCGACAGUAAGCUGCGUGGAUCGAAGAGCUUCGUCAAGUGUUGAGGCUUUGAGGAGACAAUCGUCGAGUCGUAGGGGUUUGAAUUUCUAGAGACCGGAGAGUUGCCCUGGAGUCCUU